ACAGCAGUAGCCGCGGUAAUACGAAGGGGGCUAGCGUUGCUCGGAAUUACUGGGCGUAAAGGGAGCGUAGGCGGACAUUUAAGUCAGGGGUGAAAUCCCAGAGCUCAACUCUGGAACUGCCUUUGAUACUGGGUGUCUUGAGUGUGAUAGAGGUAUGUGGAACUCCGAGUGUAGAGGUGAAAUUCGUAGAUAUUCGGAAGAACACCAGUGGCGAAGGCGACAUACUGGAUCAUUACUGACGCUGAGGCUCGAAAGCGUGGGGAGCAAACAGGAUUAGAUACCCCGGUAGUCCCUGUCUCUUAUAA
RNAcentral lists this ribosomal RNA (305 nucleotides) under uncultured bacterium. RNAcentral describes it as "partial 16S ribosomal RNA". It matches the Rfam family "Bacterial small subunit ribosomal RNA", at positions 508 to 809 of the family's 1533-position model. The record is from RNAcentral.